This 73-nucleotide transfer RNA is filed under the name Candidatus Woesearchaeota archaeon. RNAcentral describes it as "tRNA-Thr". It matches the Rfam family "tRNA". Rfam says of the family: Transfer RNA (tRNA) molecules are approximately 80 nucleotides in length. Lineage: Archaea; Nanobdellati; Candidatus Woesearchaeota. The record is from RNAcentral.
GCCUUCGUAGCAUAGUGGUUAAUGCGGCUGAUUCGUAAUCAGCAGAUCGCAGGUUCAAAUCCUGCCGAAGGCU